AUCGCUUCUCGGCCUUUUGGCUAAGAUCAAGUGUAGCAAAAAUAGUAAUAUUUUGAAUCAGUGAUUUCAUUAACAGAUAUUACUAUUAACCUAUUGUCUUGUAUCUUAUAAUUGUAAUGGUUCUCCCUCCC
This 131-nucleotide small nuclear RNA is filed under the name Panthera leo (lion). RNAcentral describes it as "U2 spliceosomal RNA (ENSPLOG00000002468.1)". The stretch from base 1 to 113 matches the Rfam family "U2 spliceosomal RNA". From Rfam's summary of the family: U2 is a small nuclear RNA (snRNA) component of the spliceosome (involved in pre-mRNA splicing). Complementary binding between U2 snRNA (in an area lying towards the 5' end but 3' to hairpin I) and the branchpoint sequence (BPS) of the intron results the bulging out of an unpaired adenosine, on the BPS, which initiates a nucleophilic attack at the intronic 5' splice site, thus starting the first of two transesterification reactions that mediate splicing. Lineage: Eukaryota; Metazoa; Chordata; Mammalia; Carnivora; Felidae. The record is from RNAcentral.